GUAGGGCGCGAGCGUUGUCCGGAAUUAUUGGGCGUAAAGAGCUCGUAGGCGGCUGGUCGCGUCUGUCGUGAAAUCCUCUGGCUUAACUGGGGGCUUGCGGUGGGUACGGGCCGGCUUGAGUGCGGUAGGGGAGGCUGGAACUCCUGGUGUAGCGGUGGAAUGCGCAGAUAUCAGGAAGAACACCGGUGGCGAAGGCGGGUCUCUGGGCCGUUACUGACGCUGAGGAGCGAAAGCGUGGGGAGCGAACAGGAUUAGAUACCCUGGUAGUCCACGCCGUAAACGUUGGGCACUAGGUGUGGGGGGCCUUUUCCGGGUUUUCCGCGCCGUAGCUAACGCAUUAAGUGCCCCGCCUGGGGAGUACGGCCGCAAGGCUAAA
Molecule: ribosomal RNA, 376 nt
Filed under: uncultured bacterium
Lineage: Bacteria
Description: bacterial SSU rRNA
Rfam family: Bacterial small subunit ribosomal RNA
Source: RNAcentral